CGACCUAAGACCAUAUGUGACGCAAACAGGGGUCAUACCGUACGUGCCGGUGAAGAUAGGCUACCGGGCCAGUGCCGAGUUGUGCUCCUCCGGCUAUCCUGCAACGGGAGCCCUCCUGAAAAAAACAAUUAGUGAGAAAAAAAAUUCGGCAGCACCUCCCUUGUACGGGGAGGUUACCAAACCUGCAAAAAAAAAGACGACACGAUGGCCGACAACCACAAAUACAUCACCNNNN
Molecule: long non-coding RNA, 235 nt
Filed under: Sorghum bicolor (sorghum)
Lineage: Eukaryota; Viridiplantae; Streptophyta; Magnoliopsida; Poales; Poaceae
Description: long non-coding RNA (SBIC_LNC009717)
Source: RNAcentral